UACGGGGGGAGCAAGCGUUGUUCGGAUUUACUGGGCGUAAAGGGCGCGUAGGCGGCCACCGCAAGUCGGUUGUGAAAUCUCUGGGCUUAACCCAGAAAGGUCAACCGAUACUGCGGGGCUAGAGUGCAGAAGGGGCAACUGGAAUUCUUGGUGUAGCGGUGAAAUGCGUAGAUAUCAAGAGGAACACCUGAGGUGAAGACGGGUUGCUGGGCCGACACUGACGCUGAAGCGCGAAAGCCAGGGGAGCAAACGGG
This 254-nucleotide ribosomal RNA is filed under the name uncultured bacterium. Its description in RNAcentral is "partial 16S ribosomal RNA". It matches the Rfam family "Bacterial small subunit ribosomal RNA", at positions 524 to 776 of the family's 1533-position model. The record is from RNAcentral.